UGUAAUCUCAACACUAUUUUCAGCUUGUAGAAUGCCUGUUGAAUGGGGAGGUGUAUCUUCACAAAUACAGCAGAAAAAGAAGCUUUACAUCCAGUAAUAGUAUUUCGACAUGCCGGCCAGAAGUCUGUUGUUACAGCAGUGUCACUAAUCAAGCAUACUCCUUUGCUUUCGAUAUGUCUUCACCGCCUUGUAGAGUUGCAGUACUUGGACAUGUAGUACAAUGCCAUGUUGGUGA
This is a long non-coding RNA of Haliotis rubra (blacklip abalone), 235 nucleotides long. RefSeq lists it as uncharacterized. Lineage: Eukaryota; Metazoa; Mollusca; Gastropoda; Lepetellida; Haliotidae. The transcript has 3 exons. The record is from RefSeq and is a predicted model, not a curated record.